CACCCCAUUCCUAACACUAGCCC
This 23-nucleotide microRNA is filed under the name Gallus gallus (chicken). RNAcentral's name for it is "microRNA Ros-gga". The record is from RNAcentral. Lineage: Eukaryota; Metazoa; Chordata; Aves; Galliformes; Phasianidae.